AUCCACCUACGGGGGGCAGCAGUGGGGGAUAUUGCACAAUGGGGGGAACCCUGAUGCAGCGACGCCGCGUGGGUGAAGGAGUACUCCGGUAUGUAAAGCCCUGUCAGCAGGGAAGAAAAUGACGGUACCUGACCGAGAAGCCCCGGCUAACUACGUGCCAGCAGCCGCGGUAAUACGUAGGGGGCAAGCGUUAUCCGGAUUUACUGGGUGUAAAGGGAGCGUAGACGGCAAGGCAAGUCUGGAGUGAAAGCCCGUGGCCCAACCACGGGACUGCUUUGGAAACUGUGUUGCUGGAGUGCAGGAGG
RNAcentral lists this ribosomal RNA (305 nucleotides) under uncultured bacterium. RNAcentral's name for it is "bacterial SSU rRNA". It matches the Rfam family "Bacterial small subunit ribosomal RNA", at positions 333 to 655 of the family's 1533-position model. The record is from RNAcentral.